CACUCAAGAAAAUGAUUAUAAAUAGCAUAGACAGCCGGGCACUGUGUGCCUCCUCUAUAAAAAGGAGCAGCGGGUUGGGAAAAGGGCUGCCUUGGGAGAAGGACGGAAGAGGCUGUCUCUUUGGGUUUUAUUUUUGUCCGAAGCUAUCCAUGCUUCUGUACUGUGACAGUGAAAUCCUCCAAGCAAGGAGCUUACAGAUGGCCUGGUAACAUGAAGGUCACGGACACGGAAACCCAAGCCAGCAGGAGAGAUCUGUUCAGUGGGACACAGAAUAUAACCAGAAGGAUUUCAAGUACAAAAGGAGAGAAAUGAACUAAUUUUGCCGAUUGAAACUCAGCGAAAUGUUUGCUCACGUGAUCAAAGAAACGGAACCAAUCCCUAGGAGGCAUCUGGCAGUUGCACCAUGACUUCCUCCAGCUUCUGGGCCUCCUCCACGACUUUGCCCGAGAGCUGCUUACACUCCUUCACCAGCAUCAAGACCA
This is a long non-coding RNA of Mus caroli (Ryukyu mouse), 482 nucleotides long. RefSeq lists it as uncharacterized. Lineage: Eukaryota; Metazoa; Chordata; Mammalia; Rodentia; Muridae. The record is from RefSeq and is a predicted model, not a curated record.